CAGCCGCCGCGGUAAUACGUAGGUGGCAAGCGUUGUCCGGAAUUAUUGGGCGUAAAGCGCGCGCAGGUGGUUUAAUAAGUCUGAUGUGAAAGCCCACGGCUCAACCGUGGAGGGUCAUUGGAAACUGUUAAACUUGAGUGCAGGAGAGAAAAGUGGAAUUCCUAGUGUAGCGGUGAAACGCGUAGAGAUUAGGAGGAACACCAGUGGCGAAGGCGGCUUUUUGGCCUGUAACUGACACUGAGGCGCGAAAGCGUGGGGAGCAAACAGGAUUAGAUACCCCCGUAGUCCCUGUCUCUUAUAC
RNAcentral lists this ribosomal RNA (301 nucleotides) under uncultured bacterium. Its description in RNAcentral is "partial 16S ribosomal RNA". It matches the Rfam family "Bacterial small subunit ribosomal RNA", at positions 509 to 807 of the family's 1533-position model. The record is from RNAcentral.